Molecule: unclassified non-coding RNA, 408 nt
Filed under: soil metagenome
Description: partial contains 5.8S ribosomal RNA, internal transcribed spacer 2, and large subunit ribosomal RNA
Rfam family: 5.8S ribosomal RNA (bases 1-120)
Source: RNAcentral
GAUGAAGAACGUAGCGAAAUGCGAUAAGUAAUGUGAAUUGCAGAAUUCAGUGAAUCAUCGAAUCUUUGAACGCACCUUGCGCUCCUUGGCAUUCCGAGGAGCAUGCCUGUUUGAGUGUCAUUAAAUUCUCAAGACCUGUCUGCUUUUUUGAUAGGUAUUGGAUUUUGGGGGUUGCAGGCUGUUUCAAAUAAAUAGCCUAGCUCUCCUUGAAUGUAUUAGUGGAGAAAAGCCAUUGAACUCCAUUGGUGUGAUAAAACCUAUCAAUGCCAGGAGCAAUAUCACUACUUCUCUCUGCUGUCUAACUGUGACUGUCUGUAUUAAUUAGUAUGGAUGGGGACAACUUGACCAACUUGACCUCAAAUCAGGUAGGACUACCCGCUGAACUUAAGCAUAUCAAUAAGCGGAGGA